Molecule: unclassified non-coding RNA, 2021 nt
Filed under: Hevea brasiliensis (rubber tree)
Lineage: Eukaryota; Viridiplantae; Streptophyta; Magnoliopsida; Malpighiales; Euphorbiaceae
Source: RNAcentral
AUGGCAUAUAGAAUUUUGGAAAUUCUAUUUUUUUUUUUUAUAUUCUUUUGGUUUUCGCAUGAGAUAAAUAUUGCACACAAUAGUUAAUAUUAACAUGUACAUUACUUAAAAUUCCUCAGCACGAAUAGAAGUUGACAAGACAGGGAAAUUCGUGAAAGGAUCUUGUUAUUUAAAUGCCAAGGCCCUGCACACUUAGGUCUCCAAAUAAUUGAAACUCGCUCGUGUUUAUUUUUAGUUUUAAAGACCAAGAGAAAAAGGGAAGCCUGUGGAGCUCAACCAACUACCUCCAGCAAUGAACCUGCCAGGAGUAUAAGCUUGGGCCUCAGUUGAACUUGUAAUUACCUUGUGCCCUUUCCAUUUAACUCUUCCUGACGUCGGUGCUCCUGCCCCUGUAUUUGCAUACUCCCCAUAAAACAGAGUAUCCAAUGCAAAAUUCCCAUUCCAUUCAUGCCAUCCAGCAGGCUGGAUCACAUCAGUAAUCGACGAUUGCAUGAUCACUGUCCUCGAAUAUUCUUUCCACGGCCUUCCUAGAUAUGUAGGGAAACUCUUCUGCACCGGUCUCAAAUCAGACGUUGCACCAAUUCUACAUUUCUGGAUAACAAUACCAGUAUUCUGGUUAGGGUCAGUUCUUCCUUGAGCAGUAACCAUGUUCUUCUGGCCCGAACCAGGACGCCUGGCGUGAAUAUCACAGUCUUGAAAAACAGCAGCACCAUUCCCGAAUAUAAAAUCAACGGUACCAGCGACUAAACAUUGUACAAAGAAUUGACGAUUAGAGUGGACGUAGAGGGUGUCCUGAUAAGCCAACAUGUCACAUCUAUAAAAUGCGGACAAAUCAGAGCCCACGCGAAGUGCCACGGCUUGAUGCUUCGAGGCUCCUGCUGUGUUUUGGAAGGUUAUAUCCCGGGCCAAGAACUUUUCCCCCACCGCGGCAACUGUAGCAGAGUGGAAGGUAGUGCUACCAUCUUGCACAUUCCUACUUGCUGUGAUUAUUGUAUUGCUUUUGCCAUCUCCCAUAAACAUAAUAUUCGUCUUCUUCUUUGGCACAUCCACGUUUUCCCUGUAAACACCAGCUUUUAUCCUAAUCACAUACCUCUUGCUACUCUUCUCUGGCGCUUUUGCUACCGCCUCUGACACCGUUUUGUAAUCUCCGCUUCCGUCGGCCGCCACAACCACAUCUGGCGUCACCGUCGACGACUGCAAUAACCUCCUGUCGCCGGCGGACAACCACUCCGGCCACUCGCCGUUAUCCUCUACUAACUUCCUAUUAUUGGCGGGGGCCGAUAAUUUCAUCUCAUUUGCAAUGUCGGUAUCGGUCAUGUUACAGAUCAUAGCUAAAGCAUUGCUGCACAUUUUUUCCACGUGCUUUUGGCCUUUCAACAAAACCUUGCGUACCUUUUUAUCGGCCUCAUCGUGAGAGAAACCGUCGAGGCAAGUUUCCUGGUUUGUAAUUGCGGAACUUAUUAGAGUUUUCAGGUCUUCCGCGUGUUCUUUCAAUGAUUUUUUGUUGGGAUAUAGCUCCAGAUCUUCUACAGCAGUGUGGAGCUCGUCGAGUGUCUCGUCCAUCGUCUCCAGGCAGUCAUGCAGCGCAACCUUUUCUCGUGGGGUUAAACCUUUUCUAGUUUUGAUGAGUUCCUUGACUGCAUAGUAGUUGCGUCGAACGGCUUUGACAGUGAUAUUCAAGGACAAUUCAAUCACAUCUUUUUGGCUUGUUACUUUUUUUGAGAAAUCAGAAACAUUGACAAUCGCAGAGUAACACAGUUCGGGGUGUAGAGUGUUGCUACACGCAGAUUUUACAAUAGCAUGGGCUGAAGACGAAAUGGCCAUUAUGUCUGCAUGAUCGUCGGAGUUUUUCGAAUGAGAUUUUACUCCGGCGACUACUCCGAUUACUGCAGCAACCAGCAGGACUGAGGCAACAAUGGCCAAGUAGAUUUUUUUCUUCCUUUUACAAAAAUCGAUUUGUUUGCUGAAAAAAUCUUCAACACGUGUCAUUUUGGAUGAAGAAAUUUAAGGGAGAGUUGUGG